GUAGUUAAUUUCCUCCACCUUUAGGCGCCACCCACCAUGGGACUCCGGGCACUCUUCCGUCCGUCCGUCAUUCUCCGUACUUCACCGUCUUGCACUGAUCCCAGCGGCGAAAUUCUCUAUUUCUCCAUUUUUCAUGUGCUGAAGUCCACUUUAGCCUUGAGUAACGCCUCCGAACCCGUAUCCCAACAGAAGAAUGAGAAGGGAAGCAAUAGAUGGUUCACGCUGCCCCCAUACACUGCGACUGUAAACGGUUCGAUUUUAGGUAAUCGCAUAAUGAACGGAGGAGGUCAAGCCGAAUUAGGAGCUUCCACCGCUGCAAUAACUGCUCUGAAAUGGGUGAUUCGUUGCUGCCCGGAAUUGCCGAGGAGCCUCGUGCAAAAGCUGUUUCGACUAAGAAAGGUUCGAAGAGGUUCUUCUAUGAUUGAAAAUUCUGAAUAUAAUUUGGAAGCGCGAGACCAACUUAAAAGAGUGGCAGCCAAGGACAUUCUGAACGUAGGUGAUCAAAUUUUUCUCCCUAUGUCCGUUCAAGUAUUCUCCACAGAGAAAACUCGGGAUUAUUGCAAUAAAGAGGAAGAGACAUUCAUGCAUAGUCUAGUAUUACACAAGGAUCCAGCAAUACUUGUUAUCAAUAAACCUCCCGGCUUGCCUGUACAGGGUGGUAUUGGUGUCAAAAGAAGUUUAGAUGAAUUAGCUGCAAGUUGUUUAAGUUAUGGCUACUCAGAACCACCUCGACUAGUACACAGGCUAGACAGGGACAGCAGUGGCAUCUUGAUAAUGGGCAGGACUUCCACAAGUACUUCACUUCUUCAUUCUGUCUUCCGUGAGAAAACUUUUGAGGCAUCAAAACAUGCAAACCAUGUUGAUAGUGAGAAAAAGAUUUUGCUAAAGAGGUACUGGGCACUUGUAAUUGGUUCUCCUAGACGUUCAAAGGGGUUAAUUACAGCUCCACUAGGAAAGAUUGUCUUGGAUGAUGGAAGAUCUGAGCAAAUUAUGGUCAUUGAUAAUGCCGAACCUAUGCCCUUUCAGCAAGCAAUUACUCAAUAUAAAGUGAUCAAAUCUCAUCAUGGAUACACUUGGUUGGAGUUGUGUCCCCUCACUGGAAGAAAACAUCAGCUUCGUGUACACUGUGCCGAGGUAUUAGGAACGCCUAUAGUUGGAGACUACAAAUAUGGAUGGCAAGCUCAUAAAAAUUGGAAACCAUUUUGUUCUAAUUUCCACAAGAAUCAAGGAAAGAAACAAUUCCUCCCUUUUGGUCUUGACUUUGAAAGUGGAAGUAUUGCAGAAAAUAAUCCUCGUCUACACCUUCAUUGUAAGCAACUGACUUUACCAGAUGUUUCUUUUGCGCUGCAUAAUGAUUCUCUAGAUCGUGACUGCUCAAGAUUGGAAUGUCUGGAGUUGGAUGCUCCUUUGCCUUCAUACAUGCAAAAAAGUUGGGAUAUCAUAAAUAGUUAGACCGCCAUCAAAAUUUCAGGACCAACCACUCAACUUUUUGAUCUUCAUUUUUCCAAAUGGAAGUAUUGUGGUAAACAACCCUGCCCAAACUUUCAACUCUAGAAUUUUUUUUAUCUGAUCUCUGAAAAAUUAUUCUCUCUAGAUCAUGGCUUCUCAGGGACGGAAUGGCUUGGGUUGGGUGCUCCUUCGCCCUCCUAAAUGCAAAGAGAUUGAUAUUUAGAGAAGAUAUCGUCACGGUGAUGGUUGCAGGACACAUUUGUCCACUUCUCAACCUUUGCAACGUAUGGUAAUGAAAAGUCUUCAUAUCAAUUUUAAUUUGUAUCCACAACAUUGACAAAAAUAAUUUAAGGUUUUCUUUUCCAACUUCUCAAAUAGUUGAAUUCAAAAAGUUUUUUUUUAAGAAAGUACAAAUGUAACGAUAAAAAUGAAGACUGAGUGCAAGAUAAAGUACAAAUCUCAAAAUCAGUUUGUUUGAAGUUAUUUUAUAAAACGUAGUAAAUUAAACAGAAUAUUAUAAAAGAUAUCAUUUGAAUAUUUUCUAAAAUGUGGUGGAAAAGUUAAAAGUUAAACUUUUACCGAAUAAAAAUUAACAUCCACUACUAGAUAACAAUUGAAAAUACACUUUGAUGUUUUGAUAUUUUUCAUUAUUUGUUAUUUCGUUCAUAAUUUUCACAUUUUCGAUCUACUUGAUAUAUCAUCAUUUCGUGUUCAUAGUCUUCAACUCACUGUUUUUAUGUUUGAUUCUUUACCCUUUAUAAGUAUUUAUUGCUUUAUUUGCUAUGAAUAAAUAGAAAAGGUAUAAAUAAUGUGCCAAAGAUAAUGCAGGGGAGUAUGCAAUUCAUCUCAGUAAAGUUUAGUUUAGAUCUUCCUCUCAUUUAAAGUUGUGAACGAUCGAUCGACUCUUUAUAAGACUUUUAUUCCCCGGAAGAUCUUUGGAGUUAUAACCGCUAAAAUUCAUCCGAGUUUAUCAAGUUCGUUCUUGUUUAAUAUUUUCUCCUCUCGGUACUUUUCCUUUUAUAUUUCAAGAUAUCCACCUCUACCUA
RNA transcript from Cucumis sativus (cucumber), 2495 nucleotides. It is a transcript of the gene named RNA pseudouridine synthase 4, mitochondrial, with no coding region annotated. The transcript is spliced from 11 exons. The record is from RefSeq and is a predicted model, not a curated record. NCBI's taxonomy places the organism in Eukaryota, Viridiplantae, Streptophyta, Magnoliopsida, Cucurbitales, Cucurbitaceae.